Molecule: ribosomal RNA, 301 nt
Filed under: uncultured bacterium
Lineage: Bacteria
Description: partial 16S ribosomal RNA
Rfam family: Bacterial small subunit ribosomal RNA
Source: RNAcentral
CAGUCGCCGCGGUAAUACGGGGGGGGCAAGUGUUAUUCGGAAUGACUGGGCGUAAAGGGCACGUAGGCGGUGAAAAGGGUGGAAAGUGAAAGUCGCCAAAACACUGGCGGGGUGCUUUCUUGACCAUUUCACUUGAGUGAGAUAGGGGAGAGUGGAAUUUCGUGUGGAGGGAUCAAAUCCUAAGAUAUACGAAGGAACGCCAACCGCGAAGGCAGCUCUCUGGGUCCCCACUGACGCUGGGGUGCGAAAGCAUGGGGAGCAAACAGGAUCAGAUACCCCGGUAGUCCCUGUCUCUUAUACC